RNAcentral lists this long non-coding RNA (1114 nucleotides) under Salvator merianae (Argentine black and white tegu). Its description in RNAcentral is "lncRNA (ENSSMRG00000020914.1)". The record is from RNAcentral. Lineage: Eukaryota; Metazoa; Chordata; Lepidosauria; Squamata; Teiidae.
ACUGCUCCUCGCUUCCUCACUCCGGGCUGCCUUCGUCGCCACUUCCAGCGCCGCCGCGUCUGCCUCUUUGCCUCGCCGCCGAGCGAGAUCAGCCGCCUCUCGCAGGAUGCUGCCGGCGCUGGAGGAGGGUCUCCGGCGGGCUCGCGUGGGCUUCGUGGCUCUCGCCCUCAGCCUCAGCCUGCUGGACGCGGUCGCGCCGGCGGAGCAGCAGAUUCCCCUGUCUGUCGUAAAACUCUGGGCCUCUGCUUUUGGCGGGGAAAUUAGGUCCAUCGCUGCGAAAUACUCAGGCUCCCAACUUCUGCAGAAGGUAAGGUUGGCACAGCUGUACUGGGUCUCCGGAAGGAUGCCGCUCUGGCUUGAACAGCAACGGCAUCCGUCAGUCGGAAGGCUUUUCCCCUGCUCUCUUUCCGCUCCCGCUUGCACCGUUUUAACUGCCUGUUCCCUUUUUACACACUGCGGAGACCAUAUAGUUUCCCCUACAAUCCGGCUAUUUUUAGAUUACUCUCCUUUUCUGAACAGAGCCCACUAGAUGACUUCAGCUAUCUCAGACAAGGCUGUUGAGAGGGAGGGUAGCGUUUGUUUCCCUUUCUAGGCAGAGCCUGUGAUGUAAGCAGUAGUUUUUUGCUGGGUAAACACACAUGUACACACAAAGUUCAUUCAAGAGAUAGGAGAGAAAAACGGGGAGAAAAAUAGUAUGCUUUCUCCAGCUGUACUUCAUUGCAACGGAAGAGAGAGAAAACAAAUACCCGAAGGCUUGACAAUUGUUUGUCAUCCCUGCAGUCCUAUUACAAUCCUAUUAUUCCUCCAAUCAUUUCAGGCCAGUGCUAGGAUGUAUUACAUCAUUACAGAUAAGGGAAAUGAAUGUGGUUAUCUUCCUGCUCAGCUGCACAGCUGGGUAAUAAGCUUGUGAAGUAGUGCAAAAACUUGAGAAAUUGGACCAAGUCCCCAUAAUUCAUAAGAGUAAUGAGAACAGAGAGUGGAUAAUUAGACCUUUUAUCAGAGCUUGCAUCUGGUCCCAUUUAAAUACAUAACCUUUUCUGAAAUCCCAUUUCCAGAUAACCUCUGUUUAAAUAUAGCUGUUGAUGAAUUAAAAAUAAAUGAGAAACUCAGGGCA